GAACCCACGAGAGCUCACGAGGCGGGGCCAGAAGCCACGUCAAAUCGACUAGCCAAGCUAACUUCCAGCCAUGGCAUUGUCUCCGGCUACGACCUUCCACGACCACGAGAGCUCCAGCUCUGACUUUCCUGGCCCAUCACAAUCAUAACGACCUAACAGCCCAGUAGGACCGAUGGCCAGAGAUGGAGGAGGAGGAAGAUAGACGCAGCAGAGGUCGGGGGUAUUGAUUAGGGAGACUCCAACAGAAUUGACGCCCUGCUAACUGCCUUGAUUCAAUCAUUGAAUUUGAAGCAAUCCCAUCGGUUACUGCAGCGUGCCCUGACCCGUGACCCCAGUUUGAUGUUCGACCUGGCACAUGACA
Molecule: long non-coding RNA, 361 nt
Organism: Engraulis encrasicolus (European anchovy)
Lineage: Eukaryota; Metazoa; Chordata; Actinopteri; Clupeiformes; Engraulidae
Exons: 3
Source: RefSeq, a predicted model, not a curated record